Molecule: ribosomal RNA, 171 nt
Filed under: Pseudo-nitzschia pungens
Lineage: Eukaryota; Bacillariophyta; Bacillariophyceae; Bacillariales; Bacillariaceae
Description: 5.8S ribosomal RNA
Rfam family: 5.8S ribosomal RNA
About the family: 5.8S ribosomal RNA (5.8S rRNA) is a component of the large subunit of the eukaryotic ribosome. It is transcribed by RNA polymerase I as part of the 45S precursor that also contains 18S and 28S rRNA.
Source: RNAcentral
UAAUACAUUACAACUUUCAGCGGUGGAUGUCUAGGUUCCCACAACGAUGAAGAACGCAGCGAAAUGCGAUACGUAAUGCGAAUUGCAAGACCUCGUGAAUCAUCAAGAUUUUGAACGCACAUUGCGCUUUCGAGUAUUCCCGGUAGCAUGCUUGUCUGAGUGUCUGUGGAU